This is a non-coding RNA of Gossypium raimondii (Peruvian cotton), 71 nucleotides long. NCBI's taxonomy places the organism in Eukaryota, Viridiplantae, Streptophyta, Magnoliopsida, Malvales, Malvaceae. The record is from Rfam.
AUGGAUAUAACUCAGCAGUAGAGCAUCACUUUGACGUGGUGGAAGUAUCAGCUCGAGCCUGAUUAUCCUUA